Molecule: ribosomal RNA, 331 nt
Filed under: uncultured eukaryote
Lineage: Eukaryota
Description: partial 18S ribosomal RNA
Rfam family: Eukaryotic small subunit ribosomal RNA
Source: RNAcentral
CCCUUAGAUGUUCUGGGCCGCACGCGCGCUACACUGUUCGACGCAGCGAGUCUUAACCUUGACCGAAAGGUUUGGGUAAUCUUCAGCAAAGUCGAACGUGAUGGGGAUCGAUCAUUGCAAUUAUUGAUCGUGAACGAGGAAUUCCUAGUAAGUGCAAGUCAUCAGCUUGCGCUGAUUACGUCCCUGCCCUUUGUACACACCGCCCGUCGCUACUACCGAUUGAAUGGUUUAGUGAGAUCUCUGGAUUGACGCUGGCUAGGGGGCGACCCUUGGCCAGGCUGUCGAGAAACUGCUCAAACUUGAUCAUUUAGAGGAGGUAAAAGUCGUAACA